CCUAUUAUCAAUGAUAACACACAAUUCUAUUCUCCUACAACACGUUAUCAGCACGAGUUCUAACCCUAGCUUCAGAAAAAAAAAAAACCCUAGAAGAAAGAUCCUUUUUCUUCUCUGCCGCCAACCCAAAACAAAAACAAAAAAACUCCAUACCGGCGGUCCACCACCACCCCAGCCUCAGCCUCCAGCAGCCAAGCCCGUCGGACCUCUCCUCCAGCGCCCCCGCGCCCAGCAGGCGGCCACCACCAGCCCUAUAGCUCCGCGCACCACCAGCCUCACCCCAGCAGCCUAGCCGCAGCCCACCUCGCCGCAGCCUCCAGCCACACCGCCUCCGUAAGCAGCAGCAGCCCAGCCUCCGUGCGCCGCAGUAGCCCAGUCCUCGCGCAGCCACCGCUGUCCAGCCGCACCACUCCAGCCACCGCACCUCUUCACCUCUGCUGCAGAUCGGAGACC
RNAcentral lists this long non-coding RNA (453 nucleotides) under Rosa chinensis. RNAcentral's name for it is "sRNA RchiOBHm_Chr7g0181901". Lineage: Eukaryota; Viridiplantae; Streptophyta; Magnoliopsida; Rosales; Rosaceae. The record is from RNAcentral.